AACGCACCUUGCACUCUUUGGUAUUCCGAAGAGUAUGUCUGUUUGAGUGUCAUGAAAUUCUCAACCCCCCUGUUUUGUAAUGAGAUGGGAGCUAGGGCUUGGAUAUGGUUGCUGCAGGCUCUUUAAGUAGAGCCAGCUCGACUGAAAUACAUGAGCAACCCAGUUUGAAAAGAAAGCGGCUUGACUCGACGUAAUAAUUAUUCGUUGAGGACGCUUACAUUUCAAGAUAGUUGGUGCUUCUAAUGCGUACUUUGGUACAACUUUAAACUUUAGACCUCAAAUCAGUCAGGACUACCCGCUGAACUUAA
This 308-nucleotide unclassified non-coding RNA is filed under the name uncultured fungus. RNAcentral's name for it is "partial contains 5.8S ribosomal RNA, internal transcribed spacer 2, and large subunit ribosomal RNA". The stretch from base 1 to 52 matches the Rfam family "5.8S ribosomal RNA", at positions 103 to 154 of the family's 154-position model. The record is from RNAcentral. Lineage: Eukaryota; Fungi.